RNAcentral lists this long non-coding RNA (401 nucleotides) under Arabidopsis lyrata. RNAcentral describes it as "long non-coding RNA (ALYR_LNC000967)". The record is from RNAcentral. Lineage: Eukaryota; Viridiplantae; Streptophyta; Magnoliopsida; Brassicales; Brassicaceae.
GCGAAAUCGAUCGCUCCGGUUCUGAAAAGCAAAUCUCCAUCGGUCCGGAACGGACUGGCCCAUCCAUCAACCGACCAGAACCAGUGAGACACGACCGGGUAAACAAACCCGGUUAAGAAAGAGGAAUAGAUUAGGUAAGCCACGAACUGAGUCCGUUCAGCGAUCGAACCACUCGUGAUUCCAGCCGCGGCUAUAGCAAAGGCCCAUUGGUAGAGAAAAUUGGAAUAAUCAGCAGUGGCCGUGGGGAUAUCUUUGAGACCAAAGUAGUGUUUACCAAUGAAACCAUUGGACGGAGAUCCAAAGGCAAAAGCAUAGCCAAAUAGAUAGUAAAAGAGACCUCCGGCCGCAGCAUCAAGAACGUUGGUAAGCAUGAUGUUCAUCGUAUUCUUGGCUCUUACGGA